This 31-nucleotide ribosomal RNA is filed under the name Puccinia lagenophorae. Its description in RNAcentral is "partial 26S ribosomal RNA". Lineage: Eukaryota; Fungi; Basidiomycota; Pucciniomycetes; Pucciniales; Pucciniaceae. The record is from RNAcentral.
UUAAGACCUCAAAUCAGGUGGGACUACCUGC